Molecule: ribosomal RNA, 492 nt
Filed under: uncultured bacterium
Lineage: Bacteria
Description: partial 16S ribosomal RNA
Rfam family: Bacterial small subunit ribosomal RNA
Source: RNAcentral
AAUGAACGCUGGCGGUAGGCCUAACACAUGCAAGUCGAACGGCCGCACAGUAAGCGCUUGCUCUUACCGGUGGCGAGUGGCGGACGGGUGAGGAAUACAUCGGCAUCCUCUUUUUCGUGGGUGAUAACGUAGGGCAACUUACGCUACUACCGCAUACGACCUACGGGUGAGAGCAGUGGAUAUUCGGACCUUUGCCGAUUGAUAGAGCCGAUGUCGGAUUAGCUAGUUGGGGAGGUAACGGCCCACCAAGGCGACGAUACGUAGCUGGUCUGAGAGGAUGAUCAGCCACACUGGAACUGAGACACGGUCCAGACUCCUACGGGAGGCAGCAGUGGGGAAUAUUGGACAAUGGGCGAAAGCCUGACCCAGCAAUGCCGCGUGAGUGAUGAAGGCCUUCGGGUCGUAAAGCCCUUUUGUUGGGGAAGAAAAGCUGCGGGAUUAAAUACGGCUGUCUUGACGGUACCCAAAGAAAAAGCACCGGCUAACUUCGUG